RNAcentral lists this ribosomal RNA (254 nucleotides) under uncultured bacterium. RNAcentral's name for it is "partial 16S ribosomal RNA". It matches the Rfam family "Bacterial small subunit ribosomal RNA", at positions 524 to 776 of the family's 1533-position model. The record is from RNAcentral.
UACGUAGGGAGCAAGCGUUGUCCGGAUUUAUUGGGCGUAAAGAGCUCGUAGGCGGCUUAGCAAGUCGGGUGUGAAACCUCCAGGCUCAACCUGGAGACGCCACUCGAUACUGCUAUGGCUUGAGUUCGGUAGGGGACCAUGGAAUUCCUGGUGUAGCGGUGAAAUGCGCAGAUAUCAGGAGGAACACCGGUGGCGAAGGCGGAUCUCUGGGCCAUUACUGACGCUGAGGAGCGAAAGCGUGGGGAGCGAACAGG